UCACCCCUCAAGCCCGGCUUGCUGUUGGACUCUGGGCCUUUUCUCGGUUAAAAGGCCGGUCUCAAAGAUAAUGACGGCGUCUGUGAGGACUCCAGUACACUGAGCUUUCGGGCACGUACUCGGCCAGCCCUCCAGGCCCCGGUCUUACUUAAUCCUCUAUUGGAUACUUCUCA
RNAcentral lists this unclassified non-coding RNA (173 nucleotides) under uncultured Herpotrichiellaceae. Its description in RNAcentral is "sequence contains ITS2". Lineage: Eukaryota; Fungi; Ascomycota; Eurotiomycetes; Chaetothyriales; Herpotrichiellaceae. The record is from RNAcentral.